UUUUUUUUUUUAGAAGUAGGGAAAAAUAAUUUUGUGUGUUGAUAGAAGUGAUGUUUAAAAUGAAAUGAUGAAGGGUGCAGGCGGGCAGGCAGGCAGCUUUUGUUGGGCUCUAGGGACGAGAAAGUGGGGGUGGACGGCGAUUCUGACCGAUUUUAAGCAAAUAAUUGUGAGUUGGCUGGCUAUUCAAGGAGUCUCACAUGAUAUUGAUAGCAGUGGCGAGUGGAAGGAAUUGCAGAGAUAUUACUAGCCUGUUAAUUCUUUUGUAAAUGCUGUUGCUGGCAUCAAAUGCUUUUGCUAACUGUAUUUCUGUCCAUCUCCAUCCGAAGUCCAAAUGCCCAUUAACUAAAUAACAAUGAAAAAGGAUUACUUUUUCCCGAUUUAGUGUGUUUUUUUUUUGGCUCCCUG
This 405-nucleotide unclassified non-coding RNA is filed under the name Hevea brasiliensis (rubber tree). Lineage: Eukaryota; Viridiplantae; Streptophyta; Magnoliopsida; Malpighiales; Euphorbiaceae. The record is from RNAcentral.